Hippoglossus stenolepis (Pacific halibut) is the source of this 1992-nucleotide long non-coding RNA. RefSeq lists it as uncharacterized. The transcript has 3 exons. The record is from RefSeq and is a predicted model, not a curated record. NCBI's taxonomy places the organism in Eukaryota, Metazoa, Chordata, Actinopteri, Pleuronectiformes, Pleuronectidae.
UUUGGUGACGACGGUGUGGACUUUAAACGGGGGGGGUUGGACGUCAGCUGUUUGAGACAACACGCUGCUCACCAACAUGUCAGGAGCUGCAGCAGAAAGCGCUGCAUCCGAACCUGGCGGUCAGGAUUCCUCCUGAGGCGGCUCCACGUCUACCCUCUGCGGACAGAAAGCACGGGACAGCUGCUGAAGUUGUAAACAGGAUCAUUCAAUGUCACCUUGUGCUCAGGAGUCAAUACUUCGUUACCACUUCAGCAGAGGGGAUUUGUCCCGAACACAGACAAGAAGAAAACAGACGGGUGGAGAAAGUACUCAAACGUCUUUCUCAAGCAAAAGUACAAAUAAACAGAACAAAAUCUUACUAAGUUAAAGCAAAAAUACGUUUUCUACUUGACCAAAAUCCCCGAAGGAGGAUACACUUGUGUAGACAUCAGGGGUCUUGGGGUUUCCGCAUCGCCGGCCAGAGAAGGAGACACGCCUGCUGCAGCUCCAUCACACACCAGAGGGCCACCUGAAUCCCCCUUGAAGAGAAAACAUACAUGUCACUUAACAGGGCCUUGAAAAGCUUUCGCUCCUUCACUGCAAACCAUUGAUCUAGAGAUGGGAACCGAUCCCCAUCUCCUACGACAUGUCCGCCGUGACAGCGUGGUUACGUUGACUUCCUGAAGCGUGUUGGGUUUGGUUCCGUCAUCCCCUAUGUCCCCCCAGCCGGCUGUGAGGCAGCGACUUCCUGUUGCCACCCUGCUUGUUUUCAGAGAGAUCAGCUGCACUGCUGCACUCAGUUGUGCCAUGCCGUUCAGCUGAGAUGAGGGGAUUGAUGAUUGAGAAAUACAGAAAAAACAUCUGGUUUUAUGGUUUUUGUGCAAGCUAGAGACAAUACUGAAAAUGUGAAAGUGCUGUAGACAACAGUUGAAACUGUCCUCACCUUCAGGAGCAUGAUGUCAUUUGCAUGGUUCUCAUACCCGGGAUAGGGAAUGGAUCUGAUAGCUCUGAAUUCCUGCUUUGUACUCUCGUUAGCUGACAGGGAAUCAACGCCGAGCACAACUGUGUAUGUUCUAGAAAUCACAAUUUAAUGAAGACUAGACAUUAGAUAUGAUGUCAAGGCUGCAAAUACACAGAAAUCAUUUUCCACAUUGGUCUGUGUUCUGAUGUGAGAUGCUGAGAAUGAACACUGACUAACUAGAUUAACUUUGAGAUUUAGAUGGUUAUUUUAUCAUUUAUUAAACCUUCCUCAGAAGUUCUUGAGGACAAAUCCUUGUCAUGUGUGAUGAAAUGUAGAUAUGAGGUUCAAAGUCCUUAACUUGUCCUUUACUUCCAUAAAAAGGAUAUGUUUGGACUCCGCUUCAGUGGACAUGUUGAGACAUUCUAACGUUGGGUUAGAAGACCAGAGAUAAAGAUUGGGGUCUCGGUCUACUGUGUUUUAUCUAAUCUUAUCUCAAACAUGUGACACACGUGGUCUGUCAGAGAGUUUGUGGAAGAGUCUUUCUGUUCUCAGCUGACGGCAUUUUGGACUGAUGAAGCAUUGCAACUUUUUUAAAUGAUAGAACAAUAUGUUAUUGUAAAUCUUUACUUUAGAAACUACAGCAAUUGGUGACAGUGAUGAGUUGAAGUUCAUACUCUUUUUCAGCAAAGUUCAACAGUUAAGAUGAAUGGAAAUUUAUCAGAUAAAUGUGGCCUUUGUUAUUGCUUAAUUAAUGACAGUUAUAUCAGUUUCCUCUUUUCUACAAGGUUACAUUACUUGUGGUUAAAAAACAGUGUUGAAGAAGGAAUGUGGUUUUGAGUCAUGCAACAUACCACAGCCUGAAACUGAACUCAUCUGUUGGGAACAGAAAGUACAUCUUUAUUAAAUUCACCAGAAAAACUGUAUUAAACUUUGAUGAAUGUUCUUGUUGAAUAUGACGUGAGUCAGGAAAUAACAGCAUUUUAACGCUGUUGAAUUUGUAUUGGGCUCAAGUAAACACAGGAAAAACUAUUAAAUUCUUUUUUUAAUUGUGA